Molecule: long non-coding RNA, 1152 nt
Organism: Lolium rigidum
Lineage: Eukaryota; Viridiplantae; Streptophyta; Magnoliopsida; Poales; Poaceae
Exons: 2
Source: RefSeq, a predicted model, not a curated record
AGGCCCGCCAUGGCCGGCACCACGGGGCAAGCAGUGCCCCCGCCUCAGGGGCGGAAGGCGGCAGAGGAGCGCCGCUUGGCGCGUCCCUCGGUGCCUAUUCUCCGGCAGAAUAUGCUCGCCCCAUCGACGAAGUAGUCGCGCGAGGGUCGUGCCGAUUGAAGCCGUGAACACUUUAUUAUUCAUUGUUUUUCUUGAUUCGUGCCUUUGAUGGGUCAAUGAUGUGUUGGUGCCCGCCGGCCAGGUAAUCCAGCUUCUGCAAACCACGUACUAGAUGGGUAAUAUCGGCAUCCAUCCGUAUCUGCAGCACUGCAACAUUUUUCAGCGACUUGGUAUUUUGUAUUGUAGGUUUAAAUACAAAGAUGAUCGUAUCUUUUCAGUGAUGCAUUGGUUCACCUACAAACUGAUCUUUCUUUUGUGGUGAACUCAGAUUUUGAGCACUGGAAAGAACAAGAUCGAUCCAUAAGUGAUUACUCUCUUGGAUUUAGAAACAUACACUAAGUUGAAUUUCUCCAUUCUGCCAAAGUAGGGCUUAAAUAGUUAUCUGGUAUGUUAUAUUGUAUUUCAGCUAACGAAGGUGGAAAGGUACUUCAUCCAUUCCUUUAUUUUAUUCUUACCAAAUACAGUACUGCAAAUUUAUCAACAGCUGAUUAUGAUAUAAUUUAGUGGACACCUCACAUUAUUGAACACUAUUACCUUAAAUCCUAAAGAAAAACCAGUUAAGAUGCAUCUAGAAUAGAGUAUGGUCGUAGAACUAUCACAUUUAUUAUGGAAAGAAUGAUGUACCAAACACUUUCAGUUAUGAUGUGCUUUGGUCCUUUUAGUGUGGUUGACAAGUGAAUACUGCUUUCAGAAAAUAAGAUGGACAAGCAUUGAUUUGAUCUGGAACAAGGAGGUCGAAAAUGUUAGACGAUGACCGGUGCUUUGCAAUCAUUCUCACACUUCAGUGCUGGACAUGAACCUGCUGCCGGUAGCGGAAACAAGGGGUGAAUUGCCUGCAUAUGAACUAUGCAAGUGUCAUGAAGAUGUUGGAACGCUCCCCUCUUCUAGCUUAACUUUUCAGCUGGUUCUCCUCUCAUGUGUGUUUUUCACUUGAUGGUUGAGCUUCCCAAUUGUAACUGAAUGUUGUAUGAGAUCUAUUCUGGUUGAGCUUCA